AGGAUGAACGCUAGCGGCAGGCCUAAUACAUGCAAGUCGAACGGUAAGUAUGAUAGCAAUAUUGUACCAAGAGUGACGUACGGGUGCGUAACACGUAUGCAACCUACCCUUUACAGAUGGAUAGCUCGGGGAAACUCGAAUUAACCCGUCAUAAUAUAAUUUAGUGGCAUCAUUGAAUUAUUAAAUCUGAGGAGGUAAAGGAUGGGCAUGCGUCUGAUUAGUAGUUGGCGGGGUAAUGGCCCACCAAGACGAUGAUCAGUAGGGGAACUGAGAGGUUGACUCCCCCACACUGGCUACGUGAACGAUACGGGCCAGACCUCCGUACGGGAGCAGCAGGUAGGAUAGUUGGUACAAGUGGAUGGAAGUCGUAGAACC
This 375-nucleotide ribosomal RNA is filed under the name uncultured soil bacterium. RNAcentral's name for it is "bacterial SSU rRNA". It matches the Rfam family "Bacterial small subunit ribosomal RNA", at positions 26 to 393 of the family's 1533-position model. The record is from RNAcentral.